This 56-nucleotide ribosomal RNA is filed under the name Trichoderma harzianum. RNAcentral describes it as "partial 18S ribosomal RNA". It matches the Rfam family "Eukaryotic small subunit ribosomal RNA", at positions 1777 to 1831 of the family's 1831-position model. The record is from RNAcentral. Lineage: Eukaryota; Fungi; Ascomycota; Sordariomycetes; Hypocreales; Hypocreaceae.
GGGAAGUAAAAGUCGUAACAAGGUCUCCGUUGGUGAACCAGCGGAGGGAUCAUUAC